Molecule: long non-coding RNA, 1149 nt
Filed under: Anser brachyrhynchus (Pink-footed goose)
Lineage: Eukaryota; Metazoa; Chordata; Aves; Anseriformes; Anatidae
Description: lncRNA (ENSABRG00000012780.1)
Source: RNAcentral
AUGCGAAUGCAUCAUGGGGACCCCUACUUCCUAGUGGGCCAAGGACUCCAGCUGAUACCCUGGUGUGCUGUAUGCAGUGAGAGAUGGACCCUGCAGGAGCUCACAGCUGUGGAGGUAACUAAGAAUUAUGGAGGAGAGACCUGCCAAAGGCUUCAUGGUGUGUCAGAGGAGACUGAGGAACAAGGUGAGGUUAUCGUGUGGGCCACUUAUGUGAUUGAUGACGAAGGCUGUAUCUCCUACGGCUUGCUGUGGGGGCUGAAUUCUGCUAUUAAUGCACAUGUGCACACUUGGUUUCUCAACCCUGGCACGCCCUGCAUUGGUAUUUGGCUUCUACUGUGUAAAUCAUUGAUUGCCAGUAAGCAGGGGAGUUCUGAUAUACAGGAGCAUGGAUGGUGGAAGGACAAGCGAACGUGGGUACAAGGCAUAGUUGUGUAGAAUUAUAGACUCAUUCAGAUGGGAAAAGACCUCUAAGAUCACCUGGUCCAACCUUUAACCUAGCACUGCCAAGUCUGCCACUAAACCAUGUCCCUAAGCUCUAAAUCUACAUGCUUUUUGAAUACCUCCAGGGAUGGUGACUCAGCUAUUUCCCGGGCAGCCGGUUCCAAGACUUCACAACCCCUUCAGUGAAGAAAUUUUUCCUAACAUCCAACCUAAACCUCCCCUGGCACAACUUAAAACUAUCUCCUCUUGUCUUAUCACUUGGUGCUUGGGUGAAGAGACUGACCCCACCUCUCUAUAGCAAGGUUGCAUGAGUGCUUACACGGACUUUGGCCUUUCAGACACAGCUGACAUGAGCACACAUGCACAUGGGCACCUGUGAGUGCCCUGAGAACCAGAGGGGGCAAUAUGAGGGGGACUAUUGAGUGUGGUCACCAACCAGGGACAUGUCAGCCAGAGCCAACAUCUGCACACAAGGAGAAGCAUCAUACCCCAUGCCGGUACACCUUCAGCCUAAAAUAUGUCAGCAUUGUGAUGGGUUUCACCAGCCCUAUAAAUCAGGCUCAGCCUUGUGAGUGCUUCAGGUUGCUCUGCAGAGAAGGGAUGACAAGAAAAGCAUCAUUUUGUGUUAAGAAAGCUCCAAGCAGGCACCAUUUGUCUGAUGAAGAGUGUGGCCAGGCCUGUUUCAUUGCUGGGCACUGGGGACAGCAG